Molecule: ribosomal RNA, 253 nt
Filed under: uncultured bacterium
Lineage: Bacteria
Description: partial 16S ribosomal RNA
Rfam family: Bacterial small subunit ribosomal RNA
Source: RNAcentral
UACGGAGGAUUCGAGCGUUAUCCGGAUUUAUUGGGUUUAAAGGGUGCGUAGGCGGUUGUUUAAGUUAGUCGUUAAAUCGGGAGGCUCAACCUUCUUAGGGCGAUUAAUACUGAAUGACUAGAGAACGGUUGCUGUGGGCGGAAUGUGUAGUGUAGCGGUGAAAUGCUUAGAUAUUACACAGAACACCAAUUGCGAAGGCAGCUCACAAAGCCGUUUCUGACGCUGAGGCACGAAAGCGUGGGGAUCAAACAGG